RNAcentral lists this ribosomal RNA (741 nucleotides) under uncultured soil bacterium. Its description in RNAcentral is "bacterial SSU rRNA". It matches the Rfam family "Bacterial small subunit ribosomal RNA", at positions 37 to 765 of the family's 1533-position model. The record is from RNAcentral.
UGGCGGCGUGCUUAACACAUGCAAGUCGAGCGAGAACGCUCCUUCGGGAGCAAGUACAGCGGCGAACGAGUGAGUAACACGUGGGCAACCUGCCCAAGAGAGCGGGACAACUCGGGGAUACUCGAGCUAAUACCGCAUAAUGCGUCAUGUCACAAGGCGUGACGCCAAAAGGUAGCUUCGGCCUCCGCUCUUGGAUGGGCCCGCGGCGCAUUAGCUUGUUGGUGGGGUAACGGCCUACCAAGGCGACGAUGCGUAGCUGGUCUGAGAGGACGAUCAGCCACACUGGGACUGAGACACGGCCCAGACUCCUACGGGAGGCAGCAGUGGGGAAUCUUGCGCAAUGGGCGAAAGCCUGACGCAGCAACGCCGCGUGAGGGAAGACGGCUUUCGGGUUGUAAACCUCUUUCAGGAGGGACGAAGCUUCCGAGGUUAAUAGCCUACGGGGUGACGGUACCUCCAGAAGAAGCCCCGGCUAACUACGUGCCAGCAGCCGCGGUAAUACGUAGGGGGCAAGCGUUGUCCGGAAUCAUUGGGCGUAAAGCGCGUGUAGGUGGCUUGGUAAGUCCGGUGUGAAACCUUGGGGCUCAACCCUAAGCCUGCAUCGGAUACUGCCUCGCUCGAGUUCGGGAGGGGAGAGCGGAAUUCCUAGUGUAGCGGUGAAAUGCGCAGAUAUUAGGAAGAACACCGGUGGCGAAGGCGGCUCUCUGGAACGAUACUGACACUGAGACGCGAAAGCGUGGG